RNA transcript from Myotis daubentonii (Daubenton's bat), 6997 nucleotides. It is a transcript of the gene named synaptopodin 2 like, with no coding region annotated. The record is from RefSeq and is a predicted model, not a curated record. Lineage: Eukaryota; Metazoa; Chordata; Mammalia; Chiroptera; Vespertilionidae.
CGUGUGCUGGACUGUACUGAUCCCAGGGCCAAGUUGCCUGCCUGUGGUGUGUGGUGUGGGGGGGAAGGCCUGGGGCAGCAGGAGCAGGACAGCCAGACAGACAGGCCGGACGGGGUACCAGCACCCCGAUUCCUCUCCCUGGGACACUGUCCACACUCCGAGGGCCAUAGGCCAACCUGAGCCAUGGGUGCUGAGAAGGAGGUGCUGGUCACACUGUCAGGGGGAGCCCCCUGGGGCUUCCGACUUCAGGGGGGGGCCGAGCAGAGGAAACCCUUACAGGUAUCCAAGAUCCGAAGACGGAGCCAGGCUGGCAGAGCAGGACUCCGAGAGAGGGACCAGCUUUUGGCCAUCAAUGGGGUCUCCUGCACCAGCCUCUCUCACGCCAGUGCCAUGAGCCUCAUCGAUGCCUCAGGGACUCAACUUGUCCUCACUGUGCAGAGGGUAGAGGAUGAAGGGCCUGUGCGAUCUCCAUCCCCUGGUGAGCUUCAGGUGCUGUCACCUUUAUCUCCGAUGAGUCCUGAGCCCCCUGGUGCUCCAGUUCCCCAGUCUCUUCAGCCUGGGAGCCUCCUCUCACCCCCUGAUAGUGAGGCUUACUACGGAGAAACAGACAGUGAUGCUGAUGGCCCUGCCACCCAGGAGAAGCCCCGCCGACCCCGCCGCCGAGGCCCCACAAGGCCCACCCCUCCGGGAGCCCCACCUGAUGAGGUCUACCUGUCUGACAGCCCUGCAGAGCCGGCACCUGCUAUCCCUGGCCCUUCCAACCAGGGUGACAGCCGUGUGAGCUCCCCAUCUUCGGAGAAUGGGGCCACCCUUAAGCCACCCCCAGCCGAGGCCCUGCUGUUGCCCCAUGGUACCCUCCGGCCUGGCCCUCAUCUCAUCCCUAUGGUGGGGCCUGUUUCCCACCCGGUGGCAGAAGAUCUUACUACCACCUACACCCAGAAGGCCAAGCAAGCCAAACUGCAACGGGCAGAGAGCCUCCAGGAGAAGAGCGUGAAGGAGGCCAAGACCAAAUGCCGGACGAUUGCGUCCCUGCUGACGGCAGCCCCCAACCCCCACUCCAAGGGGGUGCUUAUGUUUAAGAAAAGACGGCAGAGAGCCAAGAAAUACACCCUGGUGAGCUUUGGGUCUGCAGCUGGGACAGGCGCCGAGGAGGAGGAAGACGGGGUCCCUCCAACGAGCGAAUCCGAGCUGGACGAGGAGGCCUUCUCCGACGCCCGCAGCCUCACCAACCAGUCCGACUGGGACAGCCCCUACCUGGACAUGGAGCUGGCCAGGCCGGGCUCAGGCGCAGCCGAGGGCCCGGGCCCGGGGCCGGGCGGGCAGCUGAGCGAGGCCUCGGGGAGAGGGGUCCAGCUCUUCGAGCAGCAGCGCCAGCGCGCAGCCUCCAGCCCCCAGGAGCCGGCGGGGGACGGGCCCGCAGCCGCGCUCCACGGGCGCGCCCUGCAGUCACCCCCUCGGGCCCAGAGUGCUCCCCCCGAGGCGGCCGGGCCCCCCGCGUUGCCAGGCCCUUUGGGGGGCCCCGGCCCCUUCCUCCCAGGCGGUGGAGCCCCCACCCCAUCUCCCAGCAUCUUUAACCGGUCAGCCCGGCCCUUUACCCCAGGCUUUCAGGGGCAGCGUCCAGGUACCACCUCGGUCAUUUUCCGGCCCGUGGCCCCCAAGAGGGCGAGCGAAAGCCUGGGCGGCCUCAGCCCUGCUCCACCACCUUUCCUGGCCUCUCCUCAGGGGCCCGCCCCUCUGCCCAGCUCCACCCCCGGGGUUCCCAGCCACCUGCCAGCCUCCAGUUCCCCCGGCACCCCGCGCUCUUCGGGCCCCGUGACGGCCACCAGCUCCCUGUACAUCCCAGCCCCGCAUCGUCCUGUGACGCCAGGCGGGGCCCCCGAGCCCCCCGCUCCCUCCAGCACGGCUGCCAUGACCUCCACCGCUUCCAUCUUCCUGUCGGCGCCUCUGCGACCCGCUGUGCGCCCAGAGGCGCCCGCCCCCGGCCCCGCCGCCCCCGAGCCCCCCAGCGCGCGGGAGCAGCGCAUCUCCGUGCCAGCCGCUCGCACGGGCAUCCUCCAGGAGGCCCGGCGUCGGGGGACUCGGAAGCAGAUGUUCCGGCAGGGGAACGAGGAGACGAAGAACUCUCCCAACCCGGAGCUGCUGUCGCUGGUGCAGAACCUGGAUGAGAAACCCCGGGCCGGGGGUGCGGAGUCCGGCCCGGAGGAGGAUGCGCUGAGCCUGGGGGCUGAAGCCUGCAACUUCAUGCAGCCACCAGGGGGCAGGAGUUACAAGACCCUGCCUCACGUGACGCCCCAAACCCCGCCCCCCAUGGCUCCCAAGACCCCGCCCCCUAUGGCUCCUAAGACUCCACCCCCUAUGGCUCCUAAGACCCCGCCCCCUAUGGCUCCUAAGACUCCACCCCCAGUGGCUCCCAAGCCCUCAUCUCGAGGGUUCCCCGAAGGGCUAGUGAAUGGGGCAGCCCCUUCCGCUGGAAUCCCUGAGCCCCCCAGGCUUCAGGGCCGGGGUGGGGAGCUAUUUGCCAAGCGGCAAAGCCGAGCGGACAGGUUCGUGGUAGAGGCCGCACCUAGUCCUGGCCUCGGCCCUCGGCCCCGAAGCCCUUCUCCUACUCCCUCGCUGCCCCCUUCCUGGAAAUACUCACCCAAUAUCCGAGCCCCGCCUCCUAUUGCUUACAACCCACUGCUCUCACCCUAUUUCCCCCAGGCUGCCCGAACUCUCCCGAAUAAGGCCCAAUCCCAGGGGCCGCGGGCAACCCCCAAGCAGGGCAUCAAGGCUCUGGAUUUCAUGCGGCACCAGCCCUACCAACUGAAAACUGCCAUGUUCUGUUUUGAUGAGGCUCCCCAGACUCCUGGUCCCACCUCCUCAGGGCCCCCCAAAACGGCCCGAAUCCAGGAGGUCCGCCGAUUUUCCACUCCAGUACCCCAACCCACUGCAGAACCCCUGGCCCCCACUGUGCUUGCCCCCAGAGCAGCCACUACAUUGGACGAGCCCAUCUGGAGGGCAGAGCUGGCCUCAGUCCCUGUCCUCAGCCCAGCCCCUCCUCCAGAGUCUCCCAGGGGUCUUGGGACCUCACCCAGCUCCUGUGGCUUCCAGGUAGCCAGGCCCCGGUUUUCAGCCACCAAAACGGGAUUGCAGGCUCAGGUGUGGAGGCCUGGUGCAGGCCACCACUGAGCAGGGCACAGCUCCCAGGACCAAGGAGAACUAGUUGCUUCUCCAGUGCCUAAAGUUGCUUCUCCUACCCGAUCCACCCCCUCUCUCGGGCAUUUGGAGGUUAAAUUCCCUCCUGCCAGAGGUAGUUUUGGAGUUGGUAUCCCAUCCCUGUUCCUCCUGGCUCCCAACCUCCCUGCUGCUUUCCAACCUAAUACUUCUGCUUUGGUAUCUGUGCUUCUCUUUGUGUCUCUGUAGUUUCUUGCCUGGAUCUUUGUCUUUAUCUCUAGGUCUCUCCACCCAUGUGCCCUCACCGGUCUGUAUUUCUCUACUUUGUUCUUUUCUCUGUGAACUUCAUAACAUUCAAUGAGAAGCACACAGAGAAGCUACCACUGAGCACUCAACAAGAAUCUCACCACCAGGCAGGCAGCGAUGAAACUGAAUUGAUCCUUGUUUGCUCUAAGUUAGUCUCUGCUGCUCACCUUUUCCAAACCUGGCUGGCAUAUACCUCGGCAUGUAUGUAUGCGUAUACGCAAGUGCACAGAUGUGCUCUUCUGUCUGAGGCAAGAGCAAGAGGAGAUAUCUAAAUAAAGACCUGAUGUGGGUCUCACUCUUGCACUGAUGAAAGAAGGGUGAGAUAACCCCACAUGGAUAAUCUAGGGGAGAAAGAGGUUCACUACAGUUGAAGACUAGCAUCUGUAACUGGUAUACAGCAUCUUGUGAAACGUGUGGAGUAUGGGGAGACGUGAAGGACCAAGGCAGUUUGUAUGGGCUGCAUUAUACCAGUCAGAUCAGGAAUCUAACUAAAAAUUCCAUUCCUCAGGAUUUCGGACAGUUAGCAACUUGACAGGCCCAUGCUGGGCAACAAGCACCCAGGAAGUGAACAGAAAGAAAAACGUCCUCUGAGAAUGAACAAAUCAUUGGCUUCACUUCCUCUAAGCCUAGCACAGACAGAAAGAAAAGAGCCAUGGUGUGGAAAAUGAGGCAGAACCGGGAGCAGAGCAGAAAUUAAUGAAAUCGAUGGAGCCACAAAGAGGAGCAUGGUGAUAGAGAAUGCAGUGUUGGCAGAGAGUAAAGUUAGGUAACAAGAAACCAACUGUGGGCAAGAGGAGGAUUUGGGGGGAAUUGUGAUGGAGAAGAAUGCAUUUGUUAGAGUGAAGUGGAUGAUGGUGGGGGGAUGUCAGAGUAUAUACUGAGUGUUGAAAAAACAGUUGGUAUCUGUGCUACCUCCUUUGAGUCUGUCCCUCUGUCUUCUUUUUUUAAAUUUAAAAGUAUAUUUUUUAUUGAUUUUUUACAGAGAGGAAGGGAGAGGGAUAGAGAAUUAGAAAUAUCAAUGAGAGAGAAACAUUGAUCAGCUGCCUUCUGCACACCCCCUACAGGGGAUGUGCCCACAACUGAGGUACAUGCCCUCGACAGGAAUCGAACCUGGGACCCUUCAGUCCACAGGCUGAUGCUCUAUCCACUGAGCCAAACCAGUUAGGGCAUCUUCAACUUUUUUAGAUAAUGCCAACUGUUUUCCAGUAUUUCCAUGUUUUCCAAAGUGGUGGUAAUAAUAUACACUUUGACCAGCAGCUUUUUCCUGGAAAUUGAGAAAAUUCAAUUCUAAAAUUCAUAUGACAAACAGUGAAGAAUAGAUAGGACACUUUGGGAGAAUAAUAAUAAAAUGAGUAACUUACUUUGUGUAUCAGUAUCAGUCAGAAUAGGCUAAGUUAUGUUGUGGUAACAAACUAAAACCUCAGUGAUAAACAUGCAAAAGAUUUAUUUUUUAUUCAUGUUACUUGUCCACUGCAGGUUAGUAGGAAAACCCUACAGAUGAUAGUCAUUCGGGAAUUGAGGUGCCAAUGUUAUAACCAAAGUGAAUAUUACUAGUUGCUAAGCCAAAGGGAAAAAGAGCUCUGGAGGGUUUUACACAGACAGUUUUGUUUGCUCAGCAGGUCACUUCUGCUCACAACUCAUUGACCAGAGCUAAUCAUGUGGCUCUAAUGAAUCACAAGGGGGCCAGGAAGUAUGAUCCUAUUAUACUUUUUGGGAGAAGGGAGAACCAGAAAUAGUUGGUAGGCAACACUAAUGACUACCAUACUUUAUCAGAUAUCAAGACUUAUAAAACUAUAGUCAUUACGAUAAUGUGGUAUCAACACAGUUUGACUAAUAAACCAAUGGAGCAAAAUCAAGAGUUCAGAAACAGACAUAGGGAAAUUUGCUCCUUGUCCUGCCAAUCAAAGAAGAAAGUGGACUUUUCAAUAAAUGAAGCUUAGAUAAUUGGUUAUGCAUAUAGGAAAAAAAUAAAGGAAAUUAGAUCCCUAGCUCAUAUUAUACCAAAAUUAAGAAUUUCAGAUGAAUUAAGGACAAAAUGUGAAAGGCAAAAUUUUUCAAGAUUUAGAAGGAAAUAUGAGAAAAUAACAUGACAUCAGGGAUAGAGAGGACUUAUUAUAUGAGUGUUAGUACACGCAGAUCCAGGGAAAAGCCUUGAGACUGAAAAUCUACCUCCAUAAGUGGAGGGCAGAGAAAGAUCGAAGAAAAAGGUUAGCCACUCCAGUGUAGUAUUUAAUCGAAUUUAUUAAGGGAAACUUACAUUUGAGGCAUAUUUUGGGUGGCUGUAGGAUGAAAUGUAUCUAUCUGCCAUUUGGCAGAUGCCAAAGAAUGAUGUAGGGUAAGAGGAGAGGGAUAGUCACAGGUAUUAGUACAUGAAUGCUACCAGGUGUGAGAAAUUACUUCACAUGCUUGACUAGGUCAGGACAACAACCUGUUCCAAGAACCAGUACAUAGCAGGGGGCAAGGGCUGAUUUAUGUCAGAGUGAACAGCAAUUAUAAUCACUUUCUAAGUGGGCUUUGCAGAAAGCAACCCCCUUUCUGGCCGAGGUCCAGCUUGUGGGACACACAGCAGUCAUGUCAUGGAACUAACUACCUCUUCCCCACAAUAAGACAUGAAAAAUACAAAGUGAAAAGUAUUGAUACAUUUCAGUACAAAAAAAUUUAAUGUUCACAGAUGACUCCCUUUCAUAAAGAGAAUAAAAACAUAAGGCUACAAGUUGGGAGAAAUAUCUGUAGUACAGCUGGCUGGUGUGGCUCAGUGGUUGAGCAUCAACCUAUGAACCAGGAGGUCAUGGUUCGAUUCCAGUCAAGGCAAACGCCUGGGUUGCUGGCUUGAUCCCCAGUAGGGGGCAUGCAAGAGGCAGCCAAUCAAUGAUUCUCUCAUCAUUGACAUUUCUAUCUCCCUUUCCCCUCUCUGAAAUCAAUAAAAAAAUAUAAAAAAAUCUAUGGUACAAAUAACCAACAAAGAACUGGUAUCAAGCAUAGAACUUCAGAGAAGAAAUCUUACAAAGAAUAAGUAAGAGUGUUGGCCCAUGGACUGAAGGGUCUUGGAUUCGAUUCAGGUCAAGGGCACGUGGAGUGUGGGCUGUCAGGCAUGUGCAGGAGGCAACCAAUCAAUGUGUUUCCCUCACAUCGAUGUUUCUGUCUCUCCCCCUACCUUCCUCUCUCUCUAAAAAUCAAUGAAAAAAUAUUCUCGGGUGAGGACUAACAAACAAAAAAAGAUAAAUGUGUCAACAGGAAAAUGGGCAAAAGGCAUAAACAGGCUUUAAAAGAAGUAUAUGAAAAAUGCUUACCCUGUUUAAUAAUCUAAGAAUAUAAAUUAGACCAUACCCUUUAGAUAAGUAGAAAUUUAAAAAUCAGAUAAAACUGUUAUCUAAAAGGUGGAAUAAUGAAAAUUUACAUACAUUGCUGGUUGGAAUAUAAACUGAUAUUACUACUUAGUAAAACAGUUUGUCAUUUUUCUAGUAAAAUUGAACUAGCAUAUAUCCUACCACUCAGUGAAUUGCACUCCUACAUAUAUGCUGUGGAAAACAAGUACAUG